RNAcentral lists this ribosomal RNA (253 nucleotides) under uncultured bacterium. RNAcentral describes it as "partial 16S ribosomal RNA". It matches the Rfam family "Bacterial small subunit ribosomal RNA", at positions 524 to 776 of the family's 1533-position model. The record is from RNAcentral.
UACGUAGGUGACCAGCGUUGUCCGGAUUUACUGGGCGUAAAGAGCGCGCAGGCGGUCGUUCAAGUCGAGUGUGAAAGCCCCCGGCUCAACUGGGGAGGGUCAUUCGAUACUGAUCGACUCGAAGGCAGGAGAGGGAAGUGGAAUUCCCGGCGUAGUGGUGAAAUGCGUAGAUAUCGGGAGGAACACCAGUGGCGAAGGCGGCGAUCUGGCCCAACAUUGACACUGAGACCCGAAAGCGCGGGGAUCAAACAGG